Molecule: unclassified non-coding RNA, 2461 nt
Filed under: Neodiprion pinetum (white pine sawfly)
Lineage: Eukaryota; Metazoa; Arthropoda; Insecta; Hymenoptera; Diprionidae
Description: aryl hydrocarbon receptor nuclear translocator-like protein 1, transcript variant X8
Source: RNAcentral
CGCGUUUCCCCGUCAGUCUAUCCGGCGUCGCGCGAGCUUUCGGUUGCGGCCGUCGCGGCUCCCUGAGCUUUUCUACCAGUUUCGGUCCGCCUCGAGUCGCCGUACAGAUGCAGUAAAUCCCACGGGGAAAAGCGCCAAUCGUCAAGGAUGCAGCCCCCGUUGCCACACGGAUAUGGUGGUGAGCUACCGGCGGACAGUGGGGGUGUUGUCGAGGGCGGCGCCCAGGUCGACGCCGAGGCCUGCGUGAGCCAGGAGGCCCAUCCUUGUCCAGGUUCUCGUAAACAGCAGCGUAAUCCGCGGCGGCAAGGAGAGGAACGAGAAGCCCAGGAUCAAUGGCAGCUGCCGGCGGAAGAGGACCACGGGCCCCCGAUACAUCGUCGCCAAGAACAACCCGCGGACAUGGUGGCCCAGGAGAUGGCCCAGGGCUACACCCAGCUCCUUCACGACGGGCAGGAGCCUCAGGAGUUCAUAUCCCUCGAGGAACUUAAGCCAAGGCUGCAGGAUCAGGACCGCCAUGGCCGCACUCAAAGCCACAACGAGGUACGGACGGUACCAGCUUCCCCCAACUCAGCUCUCUAUCACCACUCCGGACAGCAGCGGUCCUACUACAAUCUCACCCCGGUUCCAAAGAGUUCUUGCUCCUCGGUGUACUUUGGUGGGACCGACACCGGGGUCGAAGACUUGGCCGUACCUGCAGGAGGCGUUGGACCCGGUGGCGGCGGCGUUCCAAACCCUCAGGGUCCGAUGGGGGCCGAAUCGGGAUCCCGGAUGAAAGCCGAGCAGGGAGAUGCAGCGACCGCCUCCCAUCAUUACCGACAGGCCAGUCAUCAACAUCAUCACCAUCGCCAUCACCACCACCAACAAAGUCAGAAUCAGAGUCCGAAUCACUACAAUUCCGACCACUGUACUCCGCUGCACGUCCAGCCUUUCGAGUCGCCGUCAUCCGUCGACGCAGGGUUUGCCCCGACGAUAAGGAAGCGGAAAAUUUCCUGGAACGAGAGUGGUGAAUUGCAGAACGACACGGGAGAUGACACCAAAUCCAUCAGAACGAACGACGACAGUAAAAGUGAGGGUAGUGAAUUGCAGAACGACAGGGGAGACGACACCAAAAUCGUAAGAAUGCACGACGACAGUAAACGGCAAAAUCAUAGCGAGAUCGAAAAACGUCGACGAGAUAAGAUGAACACUUACAUAACCGAGUUGUCGGCGAUGGUGCCGAUGUGUCACGCGAUGUCGAGGAAAUUGGAUAAGCUGACCAUUCUCAGGAUGGUUGUGCAACAUGUUAAAACUAUCCUGGGCACUGCCGCUCCGUAUACAGAGGGACACUACAAGCCCCCUUUCCUCAGCGAUCAAGAGCUCAAGAUGCUGAUUCUCCAGGCAGCCGAAGGCUUCGUCUUUGUGGUUGGUUGUGACCGGGGCCGGAUCCUUUACGUCUCGGAAUCGGUUUCGCAAACGCUUAACUAUUCUCAAACGACAAUUGCAACUUUACUUGAUACAAAACGCUGGUUCCCGCAGAGUGACUUAAUGGGUCAAAACUGGUUCGACAUCCUGCAUCCCAAGGACGUCGCUAAGGUCAAAGAACAGCUUUCCUCCUCCAAUCUGAGCCCGAGGGAGCGCUUGAUCGACGUUAAGACCAUGCUCCCAGUCAAGACUGACAUACCACACGACGUGUCGAUGCUCUGUCCGGGGGCUCGAAGAUCUUUUUUCUGUCGAAUGAAGCGAAAACUGGAGAACACGCGAUGCGGGGAUCCUAAGGUGAAGGAGGAAGCAGACACGACGACCGGAUGUCAUCGGCGUAAGAAACAGCAGAAUAAUGAUUGUAAGUAUUGCGUCAUUCAGUGCACCGGAUACUUGAAGACUUGGGCUACGGCGAAAAUCGGACUUGAAGAGCAGGAAGGCGAAGGCGACGGAGAAGCGUGCAAUCUUUCCUGCCUCGUUGCGGUAGGUCGAGUUCAACCGCCACUUCCGGCUUUCUCUGCACCCCGAAGACCACAUUUGAGAACGAUACAGUUCGUGUCGCGUCACGCAGUGGAUGGAAUAUUUUUAUCCGUCGAUCAGAGAGUCACACUGGUGCUCGGCUUUCUUCCUCAAGAACUGUUAGGAACGAAUAUUUACGAGUAUUACCACCGCGAUGAUAUUUCGCACCUCGCAGAGUCCCACAAAGCGGCUCUCCAGACACGGGAAAAAGUAACCACGCAGGUGUACAGGUUCAGGAGCAAAGAGGCCACUUUCGUCCGAAUGCAGUCCGAGUUGAAGUCUUUUCGAAAUCCUUGGACGAAAGACGUCGAGUCGCUGAUAGCUAAGAACUCGGCAAUUUUGUAAGUUCCGACGCGAGGCAAGUCGAAAGUAGCGCGGCAAAAUCCGAAGACUCCAACGUUCAGGGAAACUACGAUUAUCUCGCCCAAAGUAACGGUGGAUUAGAAAGACUGAUCCAAAAUCACAUAGAGGUGAGUAAAAUCGG